UUUACUUUUCUAACAUUAGACGUUAAAAGCACAUUAAAAACAAACAAACAAACAACAACAACAAAAACCUCUGAUCAAACACAGGGUGAUGAUAAAAAACAUUAAUCCUGAUCAUAGAUGCCAGAUCUCUUGGUAUAUGACAUACUCAUUACCCAUCCUGAGUAAUACAUCUUGUCUUUUCUCCAUCUUGUACUCCAAAGUCAGAUCCAUGGGCUUGAAAACUCAAGGGCAGUUUUGGGACCGAUCCCCCAAACCUGCGAUUAGUGUCAGGAGAGCAGUGGGUCUUAUAGAGGGCUGGGUUCCCUCUAACUUUGCGGUUACCUAAACCCCCAAGGAGAUGUUUCCAAACUUUAGCAGUAUGAUAUCUCAAUAAAGAUAUCGCUUGAAGCCAGGAGAUGGAGGAUGCAGUGAGCCGAGAUCACGCCACUGCACUCCAGCCUGGGUGACAGAGUGAGACUUUGUCUCAAAA
RNAcentral lists this long non-coding RNA (469 nucleotides) under Pan troglodytes (chimpanzee). RNAcentral describes it as "long non-coding RNA NONPTRT012824". Lineage: Eukaryota; Metazoa; Chordata; Mammalia; Primates; Hominidae. The record is from RNAcentral.